CAAAAGGGCAUUCGGCGUUACUGCCGUGCGCCGCGUUCAGUGCGGUGUACAGAAUCGCCAUCAAGAGAUUCUGAAUGCGUAAUUUUUAGAAAAGGGGCUGUUGGAUGUCGCUCGCACCGGCGCCCCA
Rhipicephalus microplus (southern cattle tick) is the source of this 127-nucleotide small nuclear RNA. RefSeq annotates it as U11 spliceosomal RNA. NCBI's taxonomy places the organism in Eukaryota, Metazoa, Arthropoda, Arachnida, Ixodida, Ixodidae. The record is from RefSeq and is a predicted model, not a curated record.